ACUCCUACGGGAGGCAGCAGUGGGGAAUAUUGCACAAUGGGCGCAAGCCUGAUGCAGCAACGCCGCGUGAGGGACGACGGCCUUCGGGUUGUAAACCUCUUUUAGCAGGGAAGAAGCGAAAGUGACGGUACCUGCAGAAAAAGCGCCGGCUAACUACGUGCCAGCAGCCGCGGUAAUACGUAGGGCGCAAGCGUUAUCCGGAAUUAUUGGGCGUAAAGAGCUCGUAGGCGGUUUGUCGCGUCUGCUGUGAAAUCCGGAGGCUCAACCUCCGGCCUGCAGUGGGUACGGGCAGACUAGAGUGCGGUAGGGGAGAUUGGAAUUCCUGGUGUAGCGGUGGAAUGCGCAGAUAUCAGGAGGAACACCGAUGGCGAAGGCAGAUCUCUGGGCCGUAACUGACGCUGAGGAGCGAAAGGGUGGGGAGCAAACAGGCUUAGAUACCCUGGUAGUCCACCCCGUAAACGUUGGGAACUAGUUGUGGGGUCCAUUCCACGGAUUCCGUGACGCAGCUAACGCAUUAAGUUCCCCGCCUGGGGAGUACGGCCGCAAGGCUAAAACUCAAAGGAAUUGACGGGGACCCGCACAAGCGGCGGAGCAUGCGGAUUAAUUCGAUGCAACGCGAAGAACCUUACCAAGGCUUGACAUAUACGAGAACGGGCCAGAAAUGGUCAACUCUUUGGACACUCGUAAACAGGUGGUGCAUGGUUGUCGUCAGCUCGUGUCGUGAGAUGUUGGGUUAAGUCCCGCAACGAGCGCAACCCUCGUUCUAUGUUGCCAGCACGUAAUGGUGGGAACUCAUGGGAUACUGCCGGGGUCAACUCGGAGGAAGGUGGGGAUGACGUCAAAUCAUCAUGCCCCUUAUGUCUUGGGCUUCACGCAUGCUACAAUGGCCGGUACAAAGGGCUGCAAUACCGCGAGGUGGAGCGAAUCCCAAAAAGCCGGUCCCAGUUCGGAUUGAGGUCUGCAACUCGACCUCAUGAAGUCGGAGUCGCUAGUAAUCGCAGAUCAGCAACGCUGCGGUGAAUACGUUCCCGGGUCUUGUACACACCGCCCGUCAAGUCAUGAAAGUCGGUAACACCUGAAGCCGG
RNAcentral lists this ribosomal RNA (1085 nucleotides) under Microbacterium oxydans. RNAcentral's name for it is "bacterial SSU rRNA". It matches the Rfam family "Bacterial small subunit ribosomal RNA", at positions 335 to 1430 of the family's 1533-position model. The record is from RNAcentral. Lineage: Bacteria; Bacillati; Actinomycetota; Actinomycetes; Micrococcales; Microbacteriaceae.